Long non-coding RNA from Mus musculus (house mouse), 731 nucleotides. RefSeq annotates it as cDNA sequence BC048602. The transcript has 3 exons. The record is from RefSeq and is marked validated. NCBI's taxonomy places the organism in Eukaryota, Metazoa, Chordata, Mammalia, Rodentia, Muridae.
GCUUCACUAAGGGGUGGGCUUGGAGGCCUCAGAAGCUGAAGUCAGACCUAGUGGCUCACUGCCUCUUCCUGUCUCUCAGCCCCUCUCUAGCACCAUGUCUACCUGCAGGCUGCCAUGCUUCCUGACAUGAUGACAAUGGACUGAACCUCUGAAACUCAUUGCACCCUGCUCCUUUGUGUGUGUGUAGAUCAUGAGGACAAAGAAUGAAGAAAUAAGAAAUCAAAGCCAAAAAUGCCUAAAGAUAGGAAAAGAAGAAAUGAACAUUUGGGGCAGCAAGGAUAAAAAAGUGGAGAGAAACUGGAAGAGUGGCAGGAGUCAGGGCAGAGAGAAACUGAACAACUUCAAGGCCAGUGAGUGAGUAAAGAAAAGAAGCAGAGUCAAGAAGAGACAAGGCAGGUCUGCAGGUAGAUUGUGUGAGACACUUUCAGUUUUAAAACAGCAACACAAUCAAGAGAUCACCUCUUUUUCUGCCUCUGGAAUUUGGUGAGAACACAAUGGACUGGUGCUUGGAGCUGCUGCAGCCAUCUUGUGGACAUGAAGGGAGCCCCAAUCUACCUAGAAAAAAUGGAAGAACAGAAAUACAGGUACAGCUGGGACCAAGAUGAUCUUGCCACUUCAGUACAUUACAAAACCCGAGACCCCAUCUUAAAACAUCUGAUGAAAUAGAAGAGUCUUCUAUUGUUGAAGAUUUGUUAGAUUUUUCUGUUUCUUUCAUUAAAAAUCAUCAUAAC